RNAcentral lists this ribosomal RNA (253 nucleotides) under uncultured bacterium. RNAcentral describes it as "partial 16S ribosomal RNA". It matches the Rfam family "Bacterial small subunit ribosomal RNA", at positions 524 to 776 of the family's 1533-position model. The record is from RNAcentral.
UACGUAGGCAGCGAGCGUUGUUCGGAGUUACUGGGCGUAAAGCGUGCGUAGGCGGUGCUCCAAGUCUGUUGUGAAAUCUCCCGGCUUAACUGGGAGGGUGCGGCGGAAACUGGGGUGCUGGAGUGCGGGAGAGGUAAGCGGAAUUCCCGGUGUAGCGGUGAAAUGCGUAGAUAUCAGGAAGAACACCAAUGGCGAAGGCAGCUCUCUGGGACGGUACUGACGCUGAGACGCGAAAGCGUGGGGAGCGAUCCGG